GCGCAACCCUUGUCCUUAGUUACCUAGCACGUUAUGGUGGGCACUCUAAGGAGACUGCCGGUGACAAACCGGAGGAAGGUGGGGAUGACGUCAAGUCAUCAUGGCCCUUACGGCCUGGGCUACACACGUGCUACAAUGGUCGGUACAAAGGGUUGCCAAGCCGCGAGGUGGAGCUAAUCCCAUAAAACCGAUCGUAGUCCGGAUCGCAGUCUGCAACUCGACUGCGUGAAGUCGGAAUCGCUAGUAAUCGUGAAUCAGAAUGUCACGGUGAAUACGUUCCCGGGCCUU
Molecule: ribosomal RNA, 288 nt
Filed under: uncultured Pseudomonas sp.
Lineage: Bacteria; Pseudomonadati; Pseudomonadota; Gammaproteobacteria; Pseudomonadales; Pseudomonadaceae
Description: partial 16S ribosomal RNA
Rfam family: Bacterial small subunit ribosomal RNA
Source: RNAcentral